GUUCGCAUAGCACCCGCACGGCCCUCAAUUUACUACAGCCAGCAUGUCCUGUAAGUGAAGUGGGCUGGAUACAGUCAGGUGGUCUCGUUUUCCUGUAAGCAGUAGAAACUAAGGAGAUGGAGUGGAAAAGCAGCAGAUUCAAACAGCAACCAGAGGAACCCGAAGCAAGCUGUGGGCAAGGCUCCAGCUUCAUGAGGUGGCUCCUAAUACAUGGGAAAGAUGGGCACAAAGGGAAAGGGGGCCAGGAGGACAAGAAGUGGCCCAUUCAUGCUGCCUGCAUCCCUGGCUCAGGCUGUCUGAAUGGUGCGCUUAUGAAGCUGCCAGCUUCGAAAAUAAAGAAGGGGGGAAAAUAUGUGUAACUUAAGUCAGAAAGAAGGGAGGUCUCUAUGUGCAGCUGUUGGUGAGAGACAGAAGACCUUGCCUGUGAGCCUGCUUCUUCACAUGGGGAAACUUUUCAUCUCUGUCUGGCCAGUUUAGCGAAGGAGGCACGCUGGCUGAAGAAAUACGUUAAAGGAGGGAAAAAAGCAGCUCAGCAGCAGGGUGGCCAAGCUUUCCUCGGAGACACGGGCUGCACACAGCUGAGCCGGCACAGGUGCCCCUCUGCACAAGUCGGCGCCGCGCUGAACACACAAGAGCCUCCCCUCUGAGAGGCCGCCAAGUGGCCAUCGGCUGGCACGCUUUUCUGUCACUCAAGGUCAAGACCUGUCCACCUCAAGGUAAAAUGACAUUUUUGCUACCCUUGAACUGAGUGGCACCAGUUCUGUGCAGCAAAGGAACCAAAUAAAGGAAAGAAGAGGGGGGAGUGAGGCAAUCAUCUCUAUCUCACCGGCGACUGCCAGGGUUGGGAACGGGAAUCUCUGCUCCAGCUGUCUGAACAGGUGACCCGAGGCAAGAAAUAAACUGCGAAUAUCUGCAACCUGAAAGGGAAAACUCCAAGUAUGGACUGCGCACCCCUGGCAGGCAGGUGCUGUGUGCGGCUUCAGGUCCAUUAUUGCGUUUCAUCCUCCCAGAACCUUCGCGGAGGAAACGUGUGAAACUGAGGCACGGCUCGGGUUCCCCACGGCCUAACCCUGAAAGCUGGUGCUCAUUCCAUCCCCCAGUUCUCAGCUCCCAUCGGCCCCCACACCAGAAGUCGGCGAAGUUUUCUGUGAGGAGCCAGUGGGGAAAAACUCCAGGGUGGACAGAGGAGGACGGGGUUAUACUGCCUUCAAAAUGCAAUAAUGAGAAAAAAGAAACCCUGCUAUUAACAUCGGCAGGAAACGUUGGCAGAAAAAGGACAACCCAUCCAUGCACUGUGACAUCUUCAAGUAAAUUCACAUAUUGGCAUAGCAUUCUGGGAUUUUCUUUUCUUCUUUUUUAAUCUCUGAGCC
RNAcentral lists this long non-coding RNA (1370 nucleotides) under Fukomys damarensis (Damara mole-rat). RNAcentral's name for it is "lncRNA (ENSFDAG00000032122.1)". Lineage: Eukaryota; Metazoa; Chordata; Mammalia; Rodentia; Bathyergidae. The record is from RNAcentral.